This 131-nucleotide ribosomal RNA is filed under the name Endogone sp. Its description in RNAcentral is "partial small subunit ribosomal RNA". It matches the Rfam family "Eukaryotic small subunit ribosomal RNA", at positions 1651 to 1779 of the family's 1831-position model. The record is from RNAcentral. Lineage: Eukaryota; Fungi; Mucoromycota; Endogonomycetes; Endogonales; Endogonaceae.
CCCUGCCCUUUGUACACACCGCCCGUCGCUACUACCGAUUGAAUGGCUUAGUGAGUCCUUCGGAUUGACGCCUAGAAGCUGGCAACAGCAUCCGGGUGAUGAGAAGUUGGGCAAACUUGGUCAUUUAGAGG